GAAAGGCGUAGUCGAUGGGAAACAGGUUAAUAUUCCUGUACUUGGUGUUACUGCGAAGGGGGGACGGAGAAGGCUAUGUUGGCCGGGCGACGGUUGUCCCGGUUUAAGCGWKUAGGCUAGUUUUCCAGGCAAAUCCGGAAAAUCAAGGCUGAGGCGUGAUGACGAGGCACUACGGUGCUGAAGCAACAAAUGCCCUGCUUCCAGGAAAAGCCUCUAAGCAUCAGGUAACAUCAAAUCGUACCCCAAACCGACACAGGUGGUCAGGUAGAGAAUACCAAGGCGCUUGAGAGAACUCGGGUGAAGGAACUAGGCAAAAUGGUGCCGUAACUUCGGGAGAAGGCACGCUGAUAUGUAGGUGAAGUCCCUCGCGGAUGGAGCUGAAAUCAGUCGAAGAUACCAGCUGGCUGCAACUGUUUAUUAAAAACACAGCACUGUGCAAACACGAAAGUGGACGUAUACGGUGUGACGCCUGCCCGGUGCCGGAAGGUUAAUUGAUGGGGUCAGCGCAAGCGAAGCUCUUGAUCGAAGCCCCGGUAAACGGCGGCCGUAACUAUAACGGUCCUAAGGUAGCGAAAUUCCUUGUCGGGUAAGUUCCGACCUGCACGAAUGGCGUAAUGAUGGCCAGGCUGUCUCCACCCGAGACUCAGUGAAAUUGAACUCGCUGUGAAGAUGCAGUGUACCCGCGGCAAGACGGAAAGACCCCGUGAACCUUUACUAUAGCUUGACACUGAACAUUGAGCCUUGAUGUGUAGGAUAGGUGGGAGGCUUUGAAGUGUGGACGCCAGUCUGCAUGGAGCCGACCUUGAAAUACCACCCUUUAAUGUUUGAUGUUCUAACGUUGACCCGUGAUCCGGGUUGCGGACAGUGUCUGGUGGGUAGUUUGACUGGGGCGGUCUCCUCCUAAAGAGUAACGGAGGAGCACGAAGGUUGGCUAAUCCUGGUCGGACAUCAGGAGGUUAGUGCAAUGGCAUAAGCCAGCUUGACUGCGAGCGUGACGGCGCGAGCAGGUGCGAAAGCAGGUCAUAGUGAUCCGGUGGUUCUGAAUGGAAGGGCCAUCGCUCAACGGAUAAAAGGUACUCCGGGGAUAACAGGCUGAUACCGCCCAAGAGUUCAUAUCGACGGCGGUGUUUGGCACCUCGAUGUCGGCUCAUCACAUCCUGGGGCUGAAGUAGGUCCCAAGGGUAUGGCUGUUCGCCAUUUAAAGUGGUACGCGAGCUGGGUUUAGAACGUCGUGAGACAGUUCGGUCCCUAUCUGCCGUGGGCGCUGGAGAAUUGAGGGGGGCUGCUCCUAGUACGAGAGGACCGGAGUGGACGCAUCACUGGUGUUCGGGUUGUCAUGCCAAUGGCACUGCCCGGUAGCUAAAUGCGGAAGAGAUAAGUGCUGAAAGCAUCUAAGCACGAAACUUGCCCCGAGAUGAGUUCUCCCUGACUCCUUGAGAGUCCUGAAGGAACGUUGAAGACGACGACGUUGAUAGGCCGGGUGUGUAAGCGCAGCGAUGCGUUGAGCUAACCGGUACUAAUGAACCGUGAGGCUUAACC
This 1539-nucleotide ribosomal RNA is filed under the name Escherichia coli. RNAcentral describes it as "bacterial LSU rRNA". Lineage: Bacteria; Pseudomonadati; Pseudomonadota; Gammaproteobacteria; Enterobacterales; Enterobacteriaceae. The record is from RNAcentral.